Molecule: long non-coding RNA, 1832 nt
Organism: Triticum aestivum (bread wheat)
Lineage: Eukaryota; Viridiplantae; Streptophyta; Magnoliopsida; Poales; Poaceae
Exons: 3
Source: RefSeq, a predicted model, not a curated record
UCUGGCUCCUCCCUUCGUGAUAUCCAGAAACAAUAACUCCUUCCGCUUCUCCACCCCCGCCUCUCCCCCUCCCUCCAUCAGUAACAUCCGCCCCGCAUCCCCAACCCUCCCUCGCUUUUACUCCUCGCCUUGGGCAUCCUCUUCCUCACCUUGGGUUCCUCUCAAGGUCGGCGUGUCUUCUUCACCUACCGAUGCCAUCCAGGGCUACCUUGGAUUCUGAGUGAUUGGCCAGCAACGAAAGUCCCAUGGCGUUAUUGUCUUAGAUCAUGGUGGCCCUGUCCCCGCAUCAUGAAAUUAUUCUUCUCACCAAAGGAUCGCAAGACAAUCGAUUUGGAAGGAGGUCGCACCAACGGGGAUCAAAGUAGGCUAAUCGAUAAGACAACGUCUUCUCGAUCGAUCAAUCUCGCCUGUCCGGUCCAACAGGCAAACUCGACCUUAAUCUACAGCUAUAUAUAACGGCGACACGUGCAAUGUGGCCGCGGCAUGUUUACCAGCGGCCUGACGGGCAAUGGACGGGAGUAACGCUAUUCUUCCAUGUUUUUGAUCUCACCCUUUUGAUGCAGGAGAUUUUUGCAUCGGUCCAUACGACGGAUAUAAACAUUCAGUUAUUUCUUAGAUUUUUGAGAAAAAUGCCAGCCGUUCAUUCAUUUGACCAGAGAAAAAAAUUCAGAUGAAAAGAAAAGGAAAAAGGAUCAGAUGAAAAAAAACUAGAAUGGAUAUUCAUUAUUUGCCUACAUUUAAAACUGAUUAUAUUUAUUAAAUCAAUUUAAGUCUUGCGGAAGCUACAAUUAUUUUGCAAUCCCCUUUUACAGUGAUGGUUCAUGUAUUGCUCAUAUUCGUCGUGCUACAAAAGCAUAGCGUUUUUUUCUCUCUUAAUUUUAUGUUUUUUCGUGUAUCAUUAUGAUUUACAUGGGCACCAAGGUGAACUAUUGUUAAACCUUCCAGAUCGAUCAUAUUGCGAUCCCGCCUUGCUGAAUAAUAACUGAAUAUUCAACCCUCAAUUCUUUGUUUGACAUUAUUUGUAUGAGAAUAUCUUAUUUUGUAACCAAUAGUUAAAUCACGCAAAAGUUGUAAACACACGAACAAUGAAGUUCUAUUAUGAUUCGGUUGCUUUUGUUUCAAGUAAUUGGUGCUUUCUGAAUAUGCACAAAAAAAAAACUUUCAAAUGCCUAUCUAAUGGGAGCUCUAUCGAAAUGUAUGGAUAUCAUAUGUGUAUACUGACAUUACUUCUAAUGCCUGUACUUACUCUUCAUGAAGUAAUUAUUUGUUCAAAGGUAAUUUUCAGGUCAUGUUCCUUCAACACUACUGGGAACCGCUGAAAAUUGUACAAUGAUGAAGACCACAAGUGUUACCAAAUAAUUAAACAAUGAAGCAGGUACGGUUUCCAUGUUUGGUUCGAACCUAACACUUUAUUGUACAGAGUCAUUUUCUUAGUUUGCUUUGCGGAAAUUUAAUUGUGUGUCACUUACGGGAUUGAUAACCGCUGCAUUUUCUUUAGUUGUCUGACAAGCUAUCUUCCCCUCUGUUAACUGUAAAAUAUGCCUUUGAUUCCCCAGGGAUGAAUUGAUUAUAUUCGUUUGUUAAAUUUUGAAGUAGGAGCUUCACUUCCUUUCGAAUCUUAUACUCUUUUCAGUAUUUUGAAGGACGUGCUUCUAGCAUGGCGGUAAGUCCUCUAGGUGUAAGGCUACGACCUUGGUUCUCACACAAAGGGUCCCUCACUAACUUUGCAAUUGCGCCACCGUGGACAAUGAAGCCGGCAUUUCGGUCCUUCCGGAUGAUCAAGUUUUUUCUAAUAUUUUCCAGUAAUAAAAAGAUUGUGCUUUUACACACCU